GAUUAUUUAUUUUAUUGAGAAUAAGUAAUUUCCAAUUACUAGGUUAUAUAAUCA
RNAcentral lists this transfer RNA (54 nucleotides) under Leptorhynchoides thecatus. RNAcentral describes it as "tRNA-Gly". Lineage: Eukaryota; Metazoa; Acanthocephala; Palaeacanthocephala; Echinorhynchida; Rhadinorhynchidae. The record is from RNAcentral.